This 183-nucleotide unclassified non-coding RNA is filed under the name uncultured fungus. RNAcentral's name for it is "sequence contains ITS1". The record is from RNAcentral. Lineage: Eukaryota; Fungi.
UUAACUAUUUUAUAGUACUCAGACGACACUAAUAUUCAGAGUUUGAUGGUCCUCUGGCGGGCACGCUGGGCAGAACCCGAACAGCCCGCCAAAGCAACAGAUGUUGAUAUAUACAAGGGUGGGAGAUCUACCCGUGAGGGCAUGAACUCUGUAAUGAUCCUUCCGCAGGUUCACCUACGGAAA